GCUGGCAGCUAGCUCUCUGCAACUCUCACAUGGUCGCCAAGUGAAGCUAAGCAGAGCUGCACCUGCUUAGUUCCUGGAUGGGAGACCACAUGGGAAAGCUAGGUUGCUGCCGGAA
Molecule: ribosomal RNA, 115 nt
Filed under: Danio rerio (zebrafish)
Lineage: Eukaryota; Metazoa; Chordata; Actinopteri; Cypriniformes; Danionidae
Source: RNAcentral